AAGGGACGGCUAACUACGUGCCAGCAGCCGCGGUAAUACGUAGGUCCCGAGCGUUGUCCGGAUUUAUUGGGCGUAAAGCGAGCGCAGGUGGUUUAUUAAGUCUGGUGUAAAAGGCAGUGGCUCAACCAUUGUAUGCAUUGGAAACUGGUAGACUUGAGUGCAGGAGAGGAGAGUGGAAUUCCAUGUGUAGCGGUGAAAUGCGUAGAUAUAUGGAGGAACACCGGUGGCGAAAGCGGCUCUCUGGCCUGUAACUGACACUGAGGCUCGAAAGCGUGGGGAGCAAACAGGAUUAGAUACCCUGGUAGUCACGCCGUAAACGAUGAGUGCUAGAUGUAGGGAGCUAUAAGUUCUCU
Molecule: ribosomal RNA, 353 nt
Filed under: uncultured bacterium
Lineage: Bacteria
Description: bacterial SSU rRNA
Rfam family: Bacterial small subunit ribosomal RNA
Source: RNAcentral